This 207-nucleotide ribosomal RNA is filed under the name uncultured bacterium. RNAcentral describes it as "partial 16S ribosomal RNA". It matches the Rfam family "Bacterial small subunit ribosomal RNA", at positions 568 to 774 of the family's 1533-position model. The record is from RNAcentral.
AGCGUAGACGGCAAGGCAAGUCUGAUGUGAAAACCCAGGGCUUAACCCUGGGACUGCAUUGGAAACUGUCUGGCUCGAGUGCCGGAGAGGUAAGCGGAAUUCCUAGUGUAGCGGUGAAAUGCGUAGAUAUUAGGAGGAACACCAGUGGCGAAGGCGGCUUGCUGGACGAUGACUGACGUUGAGGUUCGAAAGCGUGGGGAGCAAACA